Molecule: long non-coding RNA, 434 nt
Organism: Gallus gallus (chicken)
Lineage: Eukaryota; Metazoa; Chordata; Aves; Galliformes; Phasianidae
Source: Ensembl
AGCGGAGCCAGCCAGGAUUGCCCUUCGCAGGAGAUACUCAACUUUCAGCCUCUGGGCCCUGUGGAUGUUAGAAGAAUGACAGGAGACAGACACUGUCUGAGGAGAAACCCAACUGCUUUUCCAUAUUGCAGCAACUACUCAACUGCCUCCAGAACUGUCUUUCACCAUCCAGCUUCCAAUUUAUUGUCUGGCCUUGUCGACUUCAGUGUGAUUUGAGCAUGCAGUCGAACUUAGAAACAUCAUUUUAUAUAUUUUUUUUCCCAGACUAAAGCUUUUAUGUAGGCCCCCUUCAGGUCCUGGAAGGCCGCUCUUCCUCAGAACUUUCUCUUCUUCAGGCUGAAGAGCCCCAGCUCUCUCAGCCUGUCCCCUGCACGGGAGGUGUUCCAGCUCUCUGAUCAUCUUUGCAGUUCUCCUCUGGAUCCACUCCAACAGCU